CAGCCGCCGCGGUAAUACGUAGGGUGCGAGCGUUAAUCGGAAUUACUGGGCGUAAAGCGUGCGCAGGCGGUUGUGUAAGACAGGUGUGAAAUCCCCGGGCUUAACCUGGGAACUGCGCUUGUGACUGCGCAGCUAGAGUAUGGCAGAGGGGGGUGGAAUUCCACGUGUAGCAGUGAAAUGCGUAGAGAUGUGGAGGAACACCGAUGGCGAAGGCAGCCCCCUGGGCCAAUACUGACGCUCAUGCACGAAAGCGUGGGGAGCAAACAGGAUUAGAUACCCCUGUAGUCCCUGUCUCUUAUAC
Molecule: ribosomal RNA, 301 nt
Filed under: uncultured bacterium
Lineage: Bacteria
Description: partial 16S ribosomal RNA
Rfam family: Bacterial small subunit ribosomal RNA
Source: RNAcentral